RNAcentral lists this ribosomal RNA (731 nucleotides) under Cyclophorus friesianus. RNAcentral's name for it is "partial 16S ribosomal RNA". Lineage: Eukaryota; Metazoa; Mollusca; Gastropoda; Architaenioglossa; Cyclophoridae. The record is from RNAcentral.
AAUUUUAAUAUUUAAUACAAUUUUUUUAGAAAAGAAACAUCAUUUAUAUUUAGUAACGGUGAAUGAAAUAAUUGUAUGUUAGUGCAUAAUCGUACCGCAUGGAAAAUUAUAAAUUUCUUUCAAGUAGAAUUUUGAUUUCGUACCUUUUGCAUCAUGGUUUAGCAAGAAAACUUUUUAAAUUAAAUCUCUCGAAACCUGAGGAGCUACCUUAAUUUUGGUUUAGCCCUAAAUAAAGGUGAGUGUGGCAUAACUCUAUUUAAAAUUUAAGGUAGAAAUUAAAUGUUAUUCGUUUUAGGUGAUAGCUAGUUAUAAUAUAAAGAUAUAUAAGUAUCGGAUAUAAUUUUACUAUGUGCUUAUAUUAUGCAUACAAUGAUUUAUUUUCUUGAUUAUGCGAGGGUAAGCUCGCAUAAACUUAAUUUAGCUAAAAUUAUAUAUAAAUCUAAGCUUGGAAUUAGCUAUGAUAACUGGAAUUUGUUAAAAAUACGUAUGUAUACAGGAACUUUGUAAUAUAUUAAAUUUAUAUUAUUUAAUCAUAUAAUCAGGGUAUGAUUAAUUUAUGCUAAAAUGAGUAUUAUUUUAUAGACUAAAACAAAAAAUAGAUUAAAUUUUUUUAAAAAUUUUUUAUAAAUAUUAUAAAAUAUAUCAUAGGAACUUGGCAAAACUUCAGCUCCGCCUGUUUAGCAAAAACAUGUCUCUUUGAAAGCAAAAUAUAGAGAGUCUGGCCUGCCCGG